UACGAAAGGGGCUAGCGUUGUUCGGAAUUACUGGGCGUAAAGCGCACGUAGGCGGCCUUGUAAGUUAGGGGUGAAAUCCCCGGGCUCAACCCGGGAACUGCCUCUAAGACUGCAAAGCUUGAGGAUGCGAGAGGUUGGCGGAAUUCCGAGUGUAGAGGUGAAAUUCGUAGAUAUUCGGAAGAACACCAGUGGCGAAGGCGGCCAACUGGCGCAUUUCUGACGCUGAGGUGCGAAAGCGUGGGGAGCAAACAGG
This 253-nucleotide ribosomal RNA is filed under the name uncultured bacterium. RNAcentral describes it as "partial 16S ribosomal RNA". It matches the Rfam family "Bacterial small subunit ribosomal RNA", at positions 524 to 776 of the family's 1533-position model. The record is from RNAcentral.